Molecule: non-coding RNA, 244 nt
Organism: Cinara cedri
Lineage: Eukaryota; Metazoa; Arthropoda; Insecta; Hemiptera; Aphididae
Source: the annotation of a GenBank genome assembly
GGGUCAUACAGUAUAUUAUUGAUAAAGCAUCACAAACAACUAAACUCUGUUCAGAAUUGUUUUUUCGUUAACAAUAGUUUAUCAUUGCUUGAAGGUAUACAUUAAAUGUCUUAUGACAGCGGCUACACCUAUACCUUCAACACUUUACAAGGGCUGCACCUGACCUUUAUUAUCCUAGGACGUUUAUUUUUUCUAUCCAUAUUAAUCAUUAAACUAAAUUUAAAAAUUAACUUACUCUUUGAUC